GUGUUGUAUGAAGGAGAGAAGGUUAGCACUAUCCUUGAUAAGGACGGAUUCACCUUCGGGUGACAACCACAAAUGGUUAAAGCACUGCCACUUUGUGGCAUCUAACCAAGUUUUUUU
RNAcentral lists this non-coding RNA (117 nucleotides) under Strongylocentrotus purpuratus (purple sea urchin). The record is from RNAcentral. Lineage: Eukaryota; Metazoa; Echinodermata; Echinoidea; Camarodonta; Strongylocentrotidae.